GGGAGUGUAGCUCAUUGGUUGAGUGUCUGCUUACCAUGCAAGAGGCCCUGGGUUUGAAUCCCAGCACCA
RNAcentral lists this transfer RNA (69 nucleotides) under Urocitellus parryii (Arctic ground squirrel). RNAcentral describes it as "Spermophilus parryii (Arctic ground squirrel) tRNA". It matches the Rfam family "tRNA". From Rfam's summary of the family: Transfer RNA (tRNA) molecules are approximately 80 nucleotides in length. Their secondary structure includes four short double-helical elements and three loops (D, anti-codon, and T loops). The record is from Rfam by way of RNAcentral. RNAcentral also lists the same sequence under 1 other name. Lineage: Eukaryota; Metazoa; Chordata; Mammalia; Rodentia; Sciuridae.